AUUGAACGCUGGCGGCAUGCCUAACACAUGCAAGUCGAACGGCAGCGAGGUUAGUAGCAAUACUAACUGUCGGCGAGUGGCGGACGGGUGAGUAAUACGUAGGAACUUGCCUUGGAGAGCGGGACAACCCGGGGAAACUCGGGCUAAUACCGCAUGAUGUUGAGAAACCAAAAGUAGGGGAUCUUCGGACCUUACGCUCUGAGAGAGGCUUACGUCGGAUUAGCUAGUUGGUAGGGUAAAGGCCUACCAAGGCAAAGAUCCGUAGCUGGUCUGAGAGGACGAUCAGCCACACUGGGACUGAGACACGGCCCAGACUCCUACGGGAGGCAGCAGUGGGGAAUUUUGGACAAUGGGGGCGAACCCUCGAUCCAGCAAUGCCGCGUGUGUGAAGAAGGCCUGCGGGUUGUAAAGCACUUUAGGUGGGGAGGAAAGCCAAAUGGUGAAUAACCAGUUGGGGUGACGUUACCCACAGAAUAAGCACCGGCGUAACUCUGUGCCAGCAGCCGCGGUAAUAC
RNAcentral lists this ribosomal RNA (515 nucleotides) under uncultured bacterium. Its description in RNAcentral is "bacterial SSU rRNA". It matches the Rfam family "Bacterial small subunit ribosomal RNA", at positions 30 to 526 of the family's 1533-position model. The record is from RNAcentral.